UGGGGAAUAUUGGACAAUGGGCGCAAGCCUGAUCCAGCCAUGCCGCGUGAGUGAUGAAGGCCCUAGGGUUGUAAAGCUCUUUCAGCGAGGAGGAUAAUGACGUUACUCGCAGAAGAAGCCCCGGCUAACUUCGUGCCAGCAGCCGCGGUAAUACGAAGGGGGCUAGCGUUGUUCGGAAUCACUGGGCGUAAAGCGCACGUAGGCGGACUUUUAAGUCAGGGGUGAAAUCCCGGGGCUCAACCUCGGAACUGCCUUUGAUACUGGAAGUCUGGAGUCCGAGAGAGGUGAGUGGAACUCCGAGUGUAGAGGUGAAAUUCGUAGAUAUUCGGAAGAACACCAGUGGCGAAGGCGGCUCACUGGCUCGGUACUGACGCUGAGGUGCGAAAGCGUGGGGGAGCAAAACAGGAUUAGAUACCCUGGCAGUCCACGCCGUAAACGAUGGAAGCUAGCCGUCAGGGUGCAUGCAUCUUGGUGGCGCAGUUAACGCAUUAAGCUUCCCGCCUGGGGAGUACGGUCGCAAGAUUAAAAACUUAAAUGAAUUGAC
RNAcentral lists this ribosomal RNA (544 nucleotides) under uncultured bacterium. RNAcentral describes it as "partial 16S ribosomal RNA". It matches the Rfam family "Bacterial small subunit ribosomal RNA", at positions 355 to 914 of the family's 1533-position model. The record is from RNAcentral.